This 76-nucleotide transfer RNA is filed under the name alpha proteobacterium HIMB114. RNAcentral's name for it is "tRNA-Thr". It matches the Rfam family "tRNA". From Rfam's summary of the family: Transfer RNA (tRNA) molecules are approximately 80 nucleotides in length. Their secondary structure includes four short double-helical elements and three loops (D, anti-codon, and T loops). Further hydrogen bonds mediate the characteristic L-shaped molecular structure. tRNAs have two regions of fundamental functional importance: the anti-codon, which is responsible for specific mRNA codon recognition, and the 3' end, to which the tRNAs corresponding amino acid is attached (by aminoacyl-tRNA synthetases). tRNAs cope with the degeneracy of the genetic code in two manners: having more than one tRNA (with a specific anti-codon) for a particular amino acid; and 'wobble' base-pairing, i.e. permitting non-standard base-pairing at the 3rd anti-codon position. RNAcentral also lists the same sequence under 3 other names. The record is from RNAcentral. Lineage: Bacteria; Pseudomonadati; Pseudomonadota; Alphaproteobacteria; Candidatus Pelagibacterales; Candidatus Pelagibacteraceae.
GCCCAAAUAGCUCAAUUGGUAGAGCAACUGAUUUGUAAUCAGUAGGUCGGGAGUUCGAUUCUCUCUUUGGGCACCA